Molecule: ribosomal RNA, 472 nt
Filed under: Klebsiella pneumoniae
Lineage: Bacteria; Pseudomonadati; Pseudomonadota; Gammaproteobacteria; Enterobacterales; Enterobacteriaceae
Description: bacterial SSU rRNA
Rfam family: Bacterial small subunit ribosomal RNA
Source: RNAcentral
AAAUUGAAGAGUUUGAUCAUGGCUCAGAUUGAACGCUGGCGGCAGGCCUAACACAUGCAAGUCGAGCGGUAGCACAGAGAGCUUGCUCUCGGGUGACGAGCGGCGGACGGGUGAGUAAUGUCUGGGAAACUGCCUGAUGGAGGGGGAUAACUACUGGAAACGGUAGCUAAUACCGCAUAAUGUCGCAAGACCAAAGUGGGGGACCUUCGGGCCUCAUGCCAUCAGAUGUGCCCAGAUGGGAUUAGCUAGUAGGUGGGGUAAUGGCUCACCUAGGCGACGAUCCCUAGCUGGUCUGAGAGGAUGACCAGCCACACUGGAACUGAGACACGGUCCAGACUCCUACGGGAGGCAGCAGUGGGGAAUAUUGCACAAUGGGCGCAAGCCUGAUGCAGCCAUGCCGCGUGUGUGAAGAAGGCCUUCGGGUUGUAAAGCACUUUCAGCGGGGAGGAAGGCGGUGAGGUUAAUAACCUCA